UACAGGGGGUGCAAGCGUUGCUCGGAAUUAUUGGGCGUAAAGCGCACGUAGGCGGUUCGUUAUGUCAGAUGUGAAAGCCCUUGGCUCAACUGAGGAAGUGCAUCUGAAACUGGCGAGCUAGAGUAUGUAAGAGGGUCGCGGAAUUCCCGGUGUAGAGGUGAAAUUCGUAGAUAUCGGGAGGAACACCGGUGGCGAAGGCGGCGACCUGGGACAAUACUGACGCUGAGGUGCGAAAGCGUGGGGAGCAAACAGG
Molecule: ribosomal RNA, 253 nt
Filed under: uncultured bacterium
Lineage: Bacteria
Description: partial 16S ribosomal RNA
Rfam family: Bacterial small subunit ribosomal RNA
Source: RNAcentral